Carassius auratus (goldfish) is the source of this 2165-nucleotide long non-coding RNA. NCBI's taxonomy places the organism in Eukaryota, Metazoa, Chordata, Actinopteri, Cypriniformes, Cyprinidae. The record is from Ensembl.
AUAUCAUUGUUUUUAAUGAAAUAAUAUAUAUAUAUAUUUGUGAAAUAGUUAUAAAAUAUUGUUAAAAGAAAAAAAAAAACGUUUAGCAGCUCUUCAGAAUUAGCAGGAUAAUAAUAAACAGUGUACACAGAUAACAGGGCCGACGUAUUCAAUGGUAAAUGUACUGUACAUUCUGUUUUUUUUUCUCCUCUGAUUCCUACAUACAGGUGCAAAGCCAAGAACAGAACAAAGAUACACGGCUAGAGGACAGAAAACAAAGAUGCCUACUCUAAAGGAUUGCUAUGCAUGCAGGGAAAAAAUCGGAGUUGCCAGCAAAACAUGUCAGCACUGUAGGGCCAAACACCCAUAUAAGGAAUUGCUUGAAAAAAAAAGAAACAGCUUUCCCAGGAAUGGAAAGCGAGACAAAAAAAAAACAGCAGUGUAAACAAAGUUUACGAUGCAACAAAUCUACUACUCCACAAGUGGGAACUUUUAGAGAGGUUCCCAGUGCUACUUCUUGCUAGGAGAACCUCAAAUGGAUUUUCAGCUGAAUGCUUCUGUCCAUGGAAUUGGGGACAGAAGAUAGUCAAGAUGCUUUUCUGACAAUAAAGCGACUGUAUGAAAGUCUUCUCAAUGUGGCUAUUGCAGAUAAAGAAGCAAGCAGCAUGGGAGAGAGUUCUGCCACAAACAGCACAGAGACUCCACCAGCAGACUCCACACAACAGAUCACCUGUAAUGUGUCUAACAAAGAUAAAGAAGCAAGCAGCAUGGGAGAGAGUUCUGCCACAAACAGCACAGAGACAGAGACUUCACCAGAAGACUCCACAGCAGACCCAGCUUCAGAACUCACCCCUGAGUCUGACACUGUUUUACUUCCUCUUGCAUCUUCCUCCUUGGCUUCUCUUGUUUCCUUUACCACCCCGUCUCUUAUGUCUUUAUCCAUUGCUUCUCCAGUGUCCCCCCUGACUCAUCCUGCUUUUGUGUCCUCUCAGUCUAGUCCUAUAUCUUCUUCCUCUGCUUCUCCUCUGCCACCAGCCUCUAACCUUUCUACCCUUUCUAAACUAUCCACUGAGCAAGGCAGUUCAGGCCCAGUAGUUUCCUCACGGAAAAAAAAGACAAAUAAAGAGGAAAGCAGACCCUAAAGGUAUGUGUGGAUUUAUUGAUUUUAGGAUUUUGUGUUUGAUUUUGCACUGUUAUUCAGCUGAAAGAUUAGUUUCUCAUUGUUUUUUUUUUUUUUUUUUUUUAAGGACUGGGUUUGAAUUAUAUAAAGUACAGGUUAUUCUCAAUAAAUUUGAAUGUUGUGGAAAAGUUCAUUUAUUUCAGUAAUUCAACUCAAAUUGUGAAACUUGUGUAUUAAAUUAAUUCAAUGCAUUCAGACUGAAGUAGUGUAAGUCUUUGGUUAUUUUAAUUGUGAUGAUUUUGACUCACAUUUAACAAAAACCCACCAAUCUCAACAAAUUUAAAUUCUUCAUAAGACCAAUAAUAAAAAAAAAAAACUAAUAGUGAAUUGUUGGCCUUCUGGAAAGUAUGUUCAUUUACUGUACACGUACUCAAUACUUGAUAGGGGCACCUUUUUUUUUCUUUAAUUACUGUCUCAGUUCAGCGUGACAUGGAGGUGAUCAGUUUGUGGCACUGCUGAGGGGGUCUGAAGCACAGGUUUCUUUGACAGUGACCUUCAGUUCAUCUGCUUUGUUUGGUCUUGUUUCUCAUCUUCCUCUAGCCCAUAGAUUCUCCCUGGGGUUCAGGUCUGGUAACCAACACCAUGGGCAUUUAACCAACUUUUGGUAUUUUUGGCAGUGUAGGCAGGUGACAAAUUCUAAUGGAAAAUGAAAUCAGUAUCUUCAAAAAGCUGGUCAGCAGAAGGAAACAUGAAGUUUUUGUUAAAUGUGAGCCAAAUCAUUGCAACUAAAAGAACCAAAGACUUAAAUUCAAAGCACACAGACUGAAGUAGUUUAUUUAAUAUACAAGUUUCACAAUUUGAGUUGAAUUAUUGAAAUAAAUUAACUUUUCCAUGACAUUCUAAUUUAUUGAGAAAUACUUGUACAUAUUGUAAUAUUUUCUUUUGCACAUAUUGCAACAUUUACUUAUUUUAAUUUUUUUGGAAAGCAAGGUGUUCCGUGUUAUGCCUAUAAAGUACCCAAGCAUUGUCCAUAUUGUCGUCCUCUUGUCAAUCUGUUUGCUUCUAU